UCGUUUGAAGAUGAUUUUGUGGAAGACGAUGAGAUGAACAUGAUUGAUGAAGACGUAGCAUCUGACUCCGAAGCAGAGUCUUUGUCAGAUUCCGAUUCAGAAAACGCGAUCACUGAGAAGCUACCUGAGCCGACAAAGACUGCUGUCUACAACAGAGAUGGGCUUCUUGAUAAGCUUCAAGACAUAAGCUGGCCAGAAGAUGCUGAUUGGACUCAUAAGCUCACCGUCGAGAUUGAGCAAGGACAAGCCGUUGAUGUAAACGACGACCUCGCUAGAGAGAUGGCCUUCUACACUCAAGCACUCGAAGGGACGAGGCAGGCUUUCGAGAAGCUCCAGGAGAUGGGACUGCCUUUCCUAAGGCCGGCGGAUUACUACGCGGAGAUGGUGAAAUCAGAUACGCACAUGGAGAAGGUGAAGUCUAAGCUUCUGUACGAGAAGAAACAGAUGGAGGAGUCUGAGGAGAGGAGGAAAGCGAGGGAUAACAAGAAGAUGGCUAAGGAAGUACAGUCUCAGAAGAUGAAGGAGCGCGCUAAGCAGAAGAAGGAUGAGAUUGAGUCUGUCAAGAAGUGGAGGAAACAGAGGCAGCAGAGCGGGUUUAGUGAGAAAGGAGCAGGAGAGCUUGAUCUUGAGUUUGGAAAUGGGAAGAGUUUCCAGAGAGGAGGUGGGAAGAAGAGGCCGGGUGUGUCUCCUGGUGAUCGAUCGGGAGGUAAAGGGAAGCCUACUUCGAGGAUGAACAAUAAGAAGAGGGAGUUUAGGGACUCCAAGUUUGGUCAUGGUGGAAGGAAAGGGUUGAGCAAGCAGAACACUGCAGAGACGACGAAUGAUUUCAAAGGAGGGUUUCGUGGAGGCAAAGCUGGUGGAAACAAGAGACAGAAGAGAUAAACAAGGUUUGGUUAUCUAAACUCAUCUACAGUUUCAUCACUACAAACUAUUUUGUCAUCUUGGAUUAUGUUUUGAGAGAAUGUUUCUUUGAAUUUUUGUAAGGGUCUUCGGACCAAUAUAUUUUAGUUAAGAGUGUUGUACUAAAUGAUUACUUGAAUCAACAAAGCUCAACGUGUUUUCAAAGAAGCUAGAGGUGGCAAGUUGUUUCUUCUUCCAAAAUUCAUCAUUGAAGAAAUAUGAUUUUAACUAAUUAAAAGAUGAUGAUUAUUGAAGUUUUAGGCCGUGGAUUUAAAGUCAAACUCGAGCCCUCUCUCUCUUUUUUUUAGAAGAAUCCACCAAUAUAGAUUCUGUUUUUGCUUUUCCUUCGCCUCCUGUGCGGCCCGACUCCCUCUUCCUCUUGCUUACUAUUUGUAUGAAUCUUGGGAAGUUUUAUGCCUCCUGUGCACUUUUUCAAGAUGAUGUGAAAAAUGAAAAAUCAGUUUUCAUAUAGUUUUAUGGACCAAGCUGGUGUAUUGUUAUCAUUUUGGUUGAGUUUAGAGUUUAUUUAGUGAGGAUUGAUCUCCAUGGAAUUCAUAAUAACGUUGCUUAAUCUAUAAAGGUAACAAAUCAAUUCAGUCCCCUAUCUAAUUCGUCAGAACAAGUCCAUAUAUACAGUUUGUCAGUUUCACUACAAUGGCUUAUUACUAUAUGUUGUAUAGCACCAAAGAUAAUAAAUUUGUGAUCUGGAGUCCUGUUGUUCAGGUGAAAUAAGGUAAGAUUAAGCAUAGAAAAGGGUACAAAAUUCGAUUUCUCAUGCAACCAGUACAAAAUCUUGAGUGUGGCCACAUGCUUUUUUUUUCAUGUUAAAAAAAGUAUAGUAAUAUAUUUGUGGGCUAAGGCCGGAAAUAAAGAGAUUGAUGGGCCAAAUAAUGAAAGCCUAUAGAGGAAUUUAGUAAAUCACUUCACCCUUCUUCGAGACGCCGGAGAAAAGCAAAAUAGGAAUCGAACCUGAGCUAAACAGAUCUUUAAGCAUAGAAGAAGAUGGAGUGCGUAUUCGGUCUGGUUGGGAAAGGAUUCGCCAUCGUGGCGGCGGAUACAUCGGCGGUGCACAGUAUCCUUCUCCACAAAAACAACGAGGACAAGAUCAUGGUCCUUGACUCCCACAAGCUCAAAUCUCUCCGGACAAGUACACGUUCCCCUUUGGAUUGAGCGCGUGUGCGAAAAGUAGAACGAUUCGUGACGGGGCUCAGAUUCAUGGGUUGGUCGUUAGGAUGGAUUAUGCUAAGGAUCUGUUCGUGCAGAACUCGUUGGUUCAUUUCUACGCGGAGUGUGGAGAUCUUGUUUGUGCGCGGAAUGUGUUCGAUGAAAUGCCUCAGAGAAACGUAGUUUCUUGGACGAGUAUGAUUUGCGGUUACGCGAGGCGUGGUUUUGCUAAAGAAGCUGUUGAUUUGUUUUUCGAGAUGAUGAGAAGUGAAGACGUGAGGCCUAACUCGGUCACGAUGGUGUGUGUGAUCUCCGCUUGUGCUAAGCUUGAGGAUCUUGAAACAUGUGAAAAGGUUCAUGCUUUUAUCAGCAGUUCUGGCGUUGAAGUGAAUGAUGUUAUGGUUAGUGCUCUGGUCGAUAUGUAUAUGAAAUGUAAUGAUAAUGAUACAGCAAAACAGCUUUUUGAGCAAUACGGUGCGAGGAAUUUGGAUUUGUCCAACGCCAUGGCCUCGAAUUACGUACGCCAGGGGUUAACGAAGGAGGCUUUAGAUGUCUUGAGUCUAAUGAUGGACUCUGGUGUUAGACCUGAUAGGAUUUCAAUGUUGAGUGCUAUUUCAUCUUGUUCACAACUGAAGAACAUUCUGCUGGGAAAGAGUUGUCAUGGAUAUGUUAUGAGGAAUGGGUUUGAAAGUUGGGAUAACAUAUGUAACGCCCUGAUUGAUAUGUACAUGAAGUGUCGGAAGCAAGAUACUGCGGUUAAGAUGUUUGAUCGGAUGUUGAACAAGACAGUGGUCACGUGGAACUCAAUAAUCGCUGGAUAUAUUGAGAAUGGUGAUGUGGAUGCAGCUUGGGAAACAUUCAACACCAUGCCUGAGAAGAACAUUGUUUCUUGGAACACGAUCAUUGGCGGUUUGGUUCAAGAAGGCAUGUUCGAGGAAGCGAUUGAAGUUUUCCGGUCUAUGCAAGGCCAAGAGGGUGUUGAUGCGGAUGGAGUGACAAUGAUGAGCAUUGCAUCUGCUUGUGGGCACUUGGGAGCUCUUGAUCUUGCAAAGUGGAUAUAUUACUACAUUGAGAAGAACGGGACUCAGCUUGAUGUCAGACUUAGUACCAGUUUAGUGGAUAUGUUUUCCAGGUGUGGGGAUCCGGAAACAGCAAUGUCAAUAUUCAAUGGUUUAGCUAACAGAGAUGUCUCGGCUUGGACAGUUGCUAUAAGAGCAAUGGCUAUGUCGGGAAACGCUGAGCGGGCCAUAGAGCUUUUCGAUGAGAUGAUUGAACAAGGUUUGAAACCAGAUGGGGUAGUGUUUGUUGGAGCAUUGACAGCAUGUAGCCAUGGUGGAUUGGUCCAACAAGGUAAGGAGAUCUUCGAGUCAAUGAAGAAACUUCACGGAGUUUCUCCAGAAGACGUGCACUAUGGAUGCAUGGUUGAUCUGCUUAGUCGAGCAGGAUUGUUAGAGGAAGCUAUGCAACUCAUAAAGUCCAUGCCUUUGGAGCCAAACGAUGUGAUUUGGAACUCUCUUUUAGCCGCUUGUCGUGUUCACGGCAAUGUGGAGAUGGCUGCUUAUGCAGCUGCAAAGAUACAAGUCUUGGCUCCAGAGAGAACUGGGAGUUAUGUGCUUUUGUCAAAUGUUUACGCAUCAGCUGGAAGAUGGAACGAUGUGGCAAAAGUGAGGCUGAGUAUGAAGGAGAAAGGGUUACGCAAACCACCAGGAACUAGUCUAAUAGAGAUUCGAGGCAAGACUCAUGAGUUCACAUCAGGGGAUGAGUCACACCCGGAGAUGCGGAAAAUAGAAGCAAUGCUCGAUGAAGUUAGCCGUGAGCUAGGCCAUGUACCUGAUCUCAGCAGUGUUCUGAUGGAUGUAGAUAAGCAAGAGAAGAGAUUCAUGCUUAGCCGACACAGCGAGAAACUUGCAAUGGCCUUUGGUCUCAUUAGCUCAAACAAAGGCACAAGAAUAAGAAUAGUCAAAAACCUGAGAGUAUGUUCUGAUUGUCACUCAUUCGCAAAGUUAGCAUCCAAAGCGUAUGACAGAGAAAUCGUUCUAAGAGACAAUAACAGGUUUCAUUUCAUAAGUCAAGGCAAGUGUUCUUGUAAUGACUUCUGGUGAUUACAGAGAUGAAAGAAAAAAGCAUUCACAUUACAUUGUCUAAAAUUAAAAUAGAGAAUGACUUAGAUACAAAAAAGGUGUUUAUGAUUGUGAUAACUUGGGAAUGAUUGGAUCAAUCAACAUGUGAUACGUAGGAUCAGAACCCCAAAGCUCAGCAAUCUGAGGAUGAGAAGAAGUGAGCCGAUGAAUCUCCUCGACGAGCCAGAUGGUAGCUUCAGCUUUAGAAGGAUGAAUGAUCAAAUCCAAGCUCUGAUCUUCAGAAUCACUACCCAGUCUCGCUUGAUCCCAACGCUGUAACAAAGCGUUCGUGAGGUAAUGCAAAGGCUGACCAUAAAGCUCCUUGAUCGACAUGGCUAACCCGACCCAGCUCGUGAACGGGAUCAAAGAACCGCGGCUAGUCGGAAGAGGAAGCUCCUUCAUGUAGCCUUGAUACGUCUCUGCUCUUAUCAGCAGCGAAACUGAUGCAAAAGAUUGAAACUUUUUGGGUCAGGAACGGUGGAAAAGGAGAGAGACAAUGAAUCACAUUACCUUCGUCUUCGGCGACCGUAUGAGGUCUAUCGGUCGGCAAAAAGCCAUCGCCGUCGCUGAUCUCAGCUUCGACAUCAGAGGAGCUAGAGUCGUCUGAUGCUCGUGGAUUCAUAGUCACGUCACUCUGCAUGGUCCCAAACGAGCAGUGAGAUUAUCUGAGAACGUACGACGGCACCACGAGGCCCCUUAACGCUAGGGCUUUUAAGGGAAGAAGACGAAGAGGGAUAACUUGUACACGUGUCAGUUAAAACGUCACUUGUUGUUGUCAGUUGUGUUGCGUGAGGUAACCAAAAAUCCAAAAUUGAAAUUGAAUUAAAGUAAACCGAUAAACCGGAUUUAACCCGGCGUAAACCAGCAAGCUUUAAUCGUAUUUGAUACAAGCUUAACCCUUUUCAACUUGUUUCUUCUUCUUCUUCCUCUCGCGCCGUCGUUCAUUCUCUCUAAAACACUUCUCAAGCAAAGUUGUUCAAUCUUCUUCGUUUCGUUGUUAACUGUAAGCUUUCUUCUUCUCCUUGAAUGGUUUAUUUCAAUCUCAGAGCAUUAUCGUCUUAGUAAUAGACUGUAAUAGACGUAACCUAGGUUAAUAAAGCUAUAAUAUUUCGUCCUUAGAUUGUGAUAUUGAAGGUCACAGAACCAGUUAGAUACAAACCCUAAUUCAAAGAUUGGUCCUUUAUUGAGUUUUCAGCUUCUACCAGUUGGUUAAGAGUCUGAAUGUCAAAACCCUAGUUCAAAGAUUGAACCUUUAUUGAUUAAGAGUCUGAAUAUGUGGAGUAGCUUGACUUUGAUUGAUUUAUUGUUGUUGUUAUGUUCCUGUCUUGAUUCUGAACCUGAUUGUUUUUAAUCAAAUUUGGAGCAGAUGUCGUUUGAAGAUGAUUUUGUGGAAGACGAUGAGAUGAACAUGAUUGAUGAAGACGUAGCAUCUGACUCCGAAGCAGAGUCUUUGUCAGAUUCCGAUUCAGAAAACGCGAUCACUGAGAAGCUACCUGAGCCGACAAAGACUGCUGUCUACAACAGAGAUGGGCUUCUUGAUAAGCUUCAAGACAUAAGCUGGCCAGAAGAUGCUGAUUGGACUCAUAAGCUCACCGUCGAGAUUGAGCAAGGACAAGCCGUUGAUGUAAACGACGACCUCGCUAGAGAGAUGGCCUUCUACACUCAAGCACUCGAAGGGACGAGGCAGGCUUUCGAGAAGCUCCAGGAGAUGGGACUGCCUUUCCUAAGGCCGGCGGAUUACUACGCGGAGAUGGUGAAAUCAGAUACGCACAUGGAGAAGGUGAAGUCUAAGCUUCUGUACGAGAAG
RNAcentral lists this long non-coding RNA (5991 nucleotides) under Brassica napus (rape). RNAcentral's name for it is "long non-coding RNA (BNAP_LNC002691)". Lineage: Eukaryota; Viridiplantae; Streptophyta; Magnoliopsida; Brassicales; Brassicaceae. The record is from RNAcentral.